AAAAUAUUUCAGAUCAACAAAGCUUCAUACUCCCAAGUUAAAUGCGGAACUAAAUGCUUUCGGAUUCAGCAACUAAAAGGGAGUGUUUUAUGUCUGAUACAGAUAAUCAACAAUGUUAGAUAAUCAACAAUUAGCGGGAUCAGCUCUCAUAACGAUAGGUUCACUCCUUUUAAUGUCAAUGAAUGGUAUAGACGAUAUGAAUAAACUAAUUUUCUUUCAAAGAUUAAGUAAUCCCGCUAAGUUGAUAAUGCAGAUUCACCAUAAUGAGAAUAAAUCUAGAAAGACCUUUAUACCCUCAAGGUUAACAAGCAGAUAAAAUCUGUUCUGAACGAUGCUAAGGUAGGAAAAUUUUUAUUCAGAGACAAUCUAUCAGAUAGAAUAAAAGAAGCUAAGACGAUAGAAAAAUUGUCCCAAAAUAUAAAGAAUCAAACAGCAACAAAACCGACUGUUUAUUCAAAUGUUAAGCAAAAUUUAAACUACGAAAACCUGUUGGGGUCGAGCAGCGUCAUCGAAUAACCAAAGCCAGAGCCGUUCUCGGAUAUCAUUCAAACCCAGAUAACUACCCAAAAGGACAGAAUCAUCGAGGGCUCAAAUCCAAAAGCGAAAUCAAAUAAACGUAUGUAUCGCUGCUAGAUUACAAUAUUUUUUGUCGAAAUGGCACAAAGUAACUUGAGACAAAUUUGUCAUCGAUUGUGUUCAGGGAUAUAGAAUAAUAUUUAAUCCCAAGGUAGUUCAAGAACAUUCUCCAAAAGUGAAUUUUAAAUUUACAUGAAACAACAACCCUACUCAGGAGACUACGUUUCUUCGUAAGUAAACAGAAAGGUUGCCUUACUCCAUCAACUAGAUGCAAAUAUCUAGGCUUCAUAAUUGAUUCUAUAGAAUUGUAGAACUACUCAAUAGAAUUGACGAGCAAGAAGAAACCCCGUUUAUUUAUAAUGAUUAAGCUACUUAAAUUUAAUAUAAUAUGUACGAUCAGAGACUUUGCAGAAUUGCAGAAGACUAAUAGCAGCUUGCUCAGCUAUCGAAUACGCUUACCGUGAAGGUUUCGAAGAGCGAAACAUCUUUAAUUCUUAAUAAUUAUAAUUGCAACAUUGAGAAAGUAAACUAACAAACUUAGCUAAGCAGAUUAACCCGGGAAUUUUUAACGUAAUAAUAUAUACCGAUGCGUCUACAUUCAGUUGAGGUACAGUAAGGGAAGAUAAAACAGCUUAUGACUUCUGAAAUAGUUUAAAGAAAGAACACAUAAAUUAUCUAAAAUUGUUGACGAGAGCUUUAAAGAAUUAGCUGCGGAUCUAGAAAAUUGUAAAAUCCAAUACUAUCACCAUAUCCAAUAUUAACAGCAUGAGCGGAAUCAAAAUCGUCAAGUAUAAUAAUUUAGCAAAAAGGAUAUGGUAGUUGGCCAAAAGGAGGAAAAUAAUUUUAUUUGCAUCAUACAUUGCACCUAAGAACACAGAAGGGAAUGCCCUAUAUCGAAUAGGGAAUGAGGAUGGUGAGUGGGAAUUAGCUAAUUCGGCUUUGAAUACAGUUAUUGAGAAAUUUAGCAACGCGGAAAUAGAUUUAUGAGAGAAACAGUAAAUUUAAUCGUUUUUACUCCUGGUUAUCUGAGAAAAAACCGGAAAUGUGGAUGUUACGCCCCGAGGCUUACUAUAGGCCGUGUUCCUAACCGUCUCCCUUGAUACUACAGUGUCGCAGACAGAUCGUCUUACAUGACCGGCGAGAUAUACACAAUGUAGCGAUAAGCGCAUAGUUGUCGUCCAGUAGCGAGUUCUCAAAAACAUCGAUUCACCUUCGGUCCGUUAUUUUACAUACACCAAAUCUUGAUAUUAAAGGCCUUAGUAAAGAUAAAAAAAAAGACAGGCGUUAGGGAUUCUGAUCGCCCGAAACUGAUCGAAGCUUGGUAUUAGAUUUUCAAUUCCUUCCUCAAGGAAGAACCAAGAAUCUCCAACUUUGACCUAAUCUCCUUCUGUCACCGUGCAGAUCGAGGAUGCAUCUCAUGACAAAGCAUGCUAAGUUUAAUAGAAGGAAGAUUAUCUGCCAAGCAUUUACGAAGGAUGGGAUCGGACAACAACAGAUAUUAUGGUAGCGUCACUAGUAGACGCAACUCUAUCGUAGUAUGAGUCGUCUCUCCGUCAAUAGCAGGUUUUCGCAGGAAGAAACAAUAUAUGUAGACUUUAUGAACCCUAAAUGCGAUAGCGUCCUAGAUUUUCUAACGGGAAAUUUUAACGCGUCUUAUGACGCAUUUAAUUUUCACAGGUCAAUAAUUUAUUUAAAGCCACAAGCUUGAAGAAGAUGAAGUGACUGCCCGUUUCCUGAAAGUAGUUUUCAAGUUAAAGAUCGCUUGACCAAACUAUGCGUAUACUUAAGACAUCCAUAAUGUUGGACUAUUUAGAAAAGCUUUAUCCAUUAAAAGAGUUGUGCCUAAAAAAUUUUGACCAAGGCAGCAAUGCUGAUAGCUGAAGUAUGCUUACACUCUCACGGACGUCAAACUCUUGUAAACAUUAAAAUCAAUAAUAUACACAAAUCUAGAAAAGCCCUGGAAAUUGGAAUCCCUGACAUCCUCAAGACGUCAGAUCCGAAGCAUUUUAACCACAGCUAAUUCUUUCAGAAUUCAGGAACAAGUCCAAAUCAUGCGUAGUCUCCGCAAUAUGGAGGCAUCAUAAGUCAAUCAGGUUUAGUCAGUGGAUGAAAUCAGUUCUGGAGGACAGUUGCAUCAAAACGAACACUUCGUCGGCUUAUCCAAAGAGGUGCAACAUCAAUAUCUACAGCAUUCAAGGGAAUCAAUCUGAACGUUAGGAGAAGGGCCGGAUAAAAUUUUAUAAUUGUCAGACAAUAAAUGCGGAAGAUUAUACCAAGGCGAUACUAGAUUAAGCCUUUAAUUAAACAUUAAGAUAUGUGAAUUUUUACAUCGUUAUUUAGCUAACAUAACCUUAUGUUUUUGUACAGUGUUAUACUUUGUUUCUAUAGUUUAUACUGUUAAUUAUAACUCAUUGCUGUUCAAAGUUUUACGAUAAUAAAGCGUUAGGAAGACGAAUAGAUAAAUAAAAGAGAUCUUCUACUCCAUAAAAUUGCCAUCUCUAAACAUCUAUAUAUAUAAUCCUAAGAACGAGGCUUAAAAUAUAAUCGAACGAUCAAACGAGCUUCACUGAAGUGAAGUUCGAUUGCAAUUAUAUGCAGAGCCUCGUUCGAAGAAAUUAUAUCUCAUCCGAAUUUAAGAUACUUUUUACUUUCUUUUUAACUUCAAAACUCUAAAAAUGAAGAACAAGAUGGCGGAAUGUCCCUUAGCUCCUGGCUGAUUUUUCUUUUGUCUUACUUUCGACGUUAUGAUAUAUAGGUAACAACAGAGAACUACUUGUACAAUCUCUUCGAACGCAGCUUUUCAUAUAAUUGUGGUCGACUUCGCUUUAGGAAAAUUCGUUUGAUGUUAAUUACAUCGUAUUAAAACGUAUACUAUAUAAAACAAUCUAUAAAUACAUAUUAUAUUUCAAAACAAAAGGUAUUCUAUAGCAAAAUUCAUUAAUGGUUUCGUAACUACGAAAGUCACGGAUCGUCUAGAAAGUAAUACCUGUUUACAUAUGAAACGUAUAUAGAAGCUAUAUAAAGCGGUAGAAUGUGCUUAUAAAAGUCACCUAAUUUCAUUCAUACGUUGAAAUAUAUCACGUAUAUUCGUAUUUAAAUGACUAAUAUUGUUAUUGUUUAAAAUAGCGAUGCGAAUUAAAAAUUGUGCCGAUGAUGAAGCGCACUGUUCUGUCACACUUUUAAGUGUCCAUCAUUUUAAGAAGUUCAUCAUCCGUUAGGAAUUCACUAUUGAAUUAUAGCAGUUGUUGGUAAUUAUGGAUGAAUUAAGGUCAUUGAUAAGACGAUGAGUACGGGAAUCCAAUACGGAUAGAAACACUGUAAUGUGAUCAUAAACGUUCUGGGCAUCCGUCUCUCAUUACAGAGAAGCUCAUGAAACAUGUCUACGAUUUUAUUAUAAAUGAUCGACGUAUCACACGAGCUACAUUUUGCAAAAUUGAAAGAACUUUUGGGUCGAUAAUACUUAGCAUGAAACGAUGAUUUAAAAGAAUACGUGAAAUACAGGUUAUGUGAACUCGUGACGGAAGUGUAAACUCGUCUUACGUUAAGUUAAGUGUUCAAAUAUUAUAAAAAGUCAAAGUGAUUGUACCGAAAAAUACAUAUCCAAGCAUAUAUACUAAAGUUACAUAUGAAGAAAGCUUUUUAAAAUGCAUUUCUAUUGUGGUUAUUUAAAAACUGGUAUUAUUCUCCGGAUACCUGCUUUUUCUAUAUACUUAUUACGAUCAAACAAAUGUCUUGAUACUUUCAGGCAUCUUAAUAUAUUUUAUCUUAAUAUAUCUCGUUACGAAAAUAUAACAAAGUAACGAACAUAGUAUUAAAUUAGUUGUUAAAUCCAAACAAUAAAACCAUGUGUCAAAUAUACAAAACCCCAGAAAAAGCUAAUACGUAAUGCUCUGCAUAAUUUGACAGUAUGAAUGAGAUUCAGUUGCUUAUAUUAACUGUAUUUACAAAAUCGAUGUUACUCACCAACGUUCUCGUAUUGUUAAACAUAUUUGACGUAAUUAACGAUGAAACUCGGAACUUACAUGUCCUUAGUUUCAGUUUAAAAAAUAGAUUGAAAUUAACUGAUAAGAUUCCGAAAAUGCACAAUGCAUUGAGAAAAUAUUCAGACUAAUACAGAAAAGCAUAUUUGCAUAUGGCCAAACUUUUAUUGUUCAAUGCUUCCGUUCUUUCUCUAUACAUUCUUAGUACAUACAGUUACUGGAAGCAUUUGAAAAAUGUAUCUCCUGUAAUUUAAACUAUUUAAAAUAAUACGAUAUCCAUAGAUCUUUAACGUUUCUCAAAAGCAAUGCAGCAUAUUACAUUUUUGACAGUUGGUAGCGUAACAGUUUAUUCGACCCAUUGGCAACUUCACACAAUCAAUUGUCAUAUGCGGGAAUGACAAUAUAUGCAAUAUACGAAGAUGAUAUAUCAUAAAUAACUUAAUCUGCAAAAAGUGGUAUCGAAAAUUUAAAGAUGAAAAUUUUUAUCUGACAGAUGCAUCUUAUCCUGGACGUCCUGUCACCACGGAUUCUGAAAUCAAUCAAAAUCUAAACCAAAAUCUAAAUCUAAAAUCAAGGUUGUAAUCGAUGGCAACCACCAGCUAACAACACGAAAGGUUAGUCAGGUAUUAAACGUAUGAUUUGAUAUGACUGUUUCAAGACAUAUACGUGACCUUGGGCUGACUAAGAAGCUCGAUACUUAGUGCCGUAUGAAUUGAGCGAUAGAAAUUUAAUCGAUCAGAUCUGCUUGCGAUUCGCUACUAAAACGCAUUAAAGGGAAUAAUUCUUUUAAAGACCCCUCAUUGGCAACAAAAAAUGGCUUGUUUAUAAUAAUGGUAGCCAACAAAGAUCAUGAUCGAAAUCCAACGAGACAUUACGAGACAUUACAUUAUAGCGAAGGCUGGAAUUCAUUUGAAAAAAGUAAUGUGUAUAUAGUGGAACUGGAAAAGUGUCAUAUACUGUGAGUUGUUGCCAUCUAAUGAAACGACCAUCUAAAUUCGACCAAGUAUUGUUCGCAAUUAGCGAAAUUAAAGAAGGCAAUCGACGAGAAAAGAAGAGUUGGCCAAUAGGCAGGGUGUUGUGUUCUUACACGGCAACGCGAUGUUUCAUUGGAUACCAGGCAAAAAUUACUAGAGUUCGUCUAAGAUAUUUUGGUGCAUCCAUCACAUACUCAGGACCUUAUACCCUCCGAUGUUCAUUUAUCCUGUUCGUUGCACGAUGUUCUUAAUAGUAUAGUGUGAAGUUAACAGAUUUAAAUAUAUGCAAAAAUUUCUUGGACACAUAUUUUGCGAAGAAGACACGAAUUUUAUAAGAAACGAAUAUUUCUGCUGUCAGAAAAAUGGCAGAAGACAAUCAAUCAACAUGGAAAAUGUAUAAUUGAUUAAAGCUACGACUAACUGUUAAAAAAAAAAAAUAAAAGAA
Long non-coding RNA from Bombus huntii, 5975 nucleotides. RefSeq lists it as uncharacterized. NCBI's taxonomy places the organism in Eukaryota, Metazoa, Arthropoda, Insecta, Hymenoptera, Apidae. The record is from RefSeq and is a predicted model, not a curated record. The transcript has 2 exons.